UACACCGUAUUCUGUGAGUUGCGAACGGGUGAGUAACGCGUAGGUAACCUGCCUGGUAGCGGGGGAUAACUAUUGGAAACGAUAGCUAAUACCGCAUAAGAACAUUUACUGCAUGGUAGAUGUUUAAAAGGUGCAAAAGCAUCACUACCAGAUGGACCUGCGUUGUAUUAGCUAGUUGGUGAGGUAACGGCUCACCAAGGCAACGAUACAUAGCCGACCUGAGAGGGUGAUCGGCCACACUGGGACUGAGACACGGCCCAGACUCCUACGGGAGGCAGCAGUAGGGAAUCUUCGGCAAUGGGGGGAACCCUGACCGAGCAACGCCGCGUGAGUGAAGAAGGUUUUCGGAUCGUAAAGCUCUGUUGUUAAGGAAGAACGUGUGUGAGAGUGGAAAGUUCACACAGUGACGGUACUUAACCAGAAAGGGACGGCUAACUACGUGCCAGCAGCCGCGGUAAUACGUAGGUCCCGAGCGUUGUCCGGAUUUAUUGGGCGUAAAGCGAGCGCAGGCGGUUAGAUAAGUCUGAAGUGAAAGGCAGUGGCUCAACCAUUGUAGGCUUUGGAAACUGUUUAACUUGAGUGCAGAAGGGGAGAGUGGAAUUCCAUGUGUAGCGGUGAAAUGCGUAGAUAUAUGGAGGAACACCGGUGGCGAAAGCGGCUCUCUGGUCUGUAACUGACGCUGAGGCUCGAAAGCGUGGGGAGCGAACAGGAUUAGAUACCCUGGUAGUCCACGCCGUAAACGAUGAGUGCUAGGUGUUAGGUCCUUUCCGGGACUUAGUGCCGC
This 784-nucleotide ribosomal RNA is filed under the name uncultured Streptococcaceae bacterium. RNAcentral's name for it is "bacterial SSU rRNA". It matches the Rfam family "Bacterial small subunit ribosomal RNA", at positions 76 to 849 of the family's 1533-position model. Lineage: Bacteria; Bacillati; Bacillota; Bacilli; Lactobacillales; Streptococcaceae. The record is from RNAcentral.